RNAcentral lists this ribosomal RNA (251 nucleotides) under uncultured Oceanospirillales bacterium. Its description in RNAcentral is "partial 16S ribosomal RNA". It matches the Rfam family "Bacterial small subunit ribosomal RNA", at positions 85 to 339 of the family's 1533-position model. Lineage: Bacteria; Pseudomonadati; Pseudomonadota; Gammaproteobacteria; Oceanospirillales. The record is from RNAcentral.
CCGCUGACGAGCGGCGGACGGGUGAGUAACGCGUAGGAAUCUACCCAGUAGCGGGGGAUAGCUCGGGGAAACUCGAAUUAAUACCGCAUACGCCCUACGGGGGAAAGCAGGGGAUCUUCGGACCUUGCACUAUUGGAAGAGCCUGCGUUGGAUUAGCUAGUUGGUAGGGUAAAGGCCUACCAAGGCGACGAUCCAUAGCUGGUCUGAGAGGAUGAUCAGCCACACCGGAACUGAGACACGGUCCGGACUCC